This 386-nucleotide ribosomal RNA is filed under the name uncultured Mycoplasma sp. RNAcentral describes it as "bacterial SSU rRNA". It matches the Rfam family "Bacterial small subunit ribosomal RNA", at positions 981 to 1386 of the family's 1533-position model. The record is from RNAcentral. Lineage: Bacteria; Bacillati; Mycoplasmatota; Mollicutes; Mycoplasmatales; Mycoplasmataceae.
UUGACAUCUUCUGCAAAGCUAUAGAGAUAUAGUGGAGGUUAACAGAAUGACAGAUGGUGCAUGGUUGUCGUCAGCUCGUGUCGUGAGAUGUUCGGUUAAGUCCUGCAACGAGCGCAACCCUUGUCCUUAGUUACUUUAUCUAAGGAGACUGCCCGAGUAAUUGGGAGGAAGGUGGGGACGACGUCAAAUCAUCAUGCCUCUUACGAGUGGGGCAACACACGUGCUACAAUGGACGAUACAAAGAGAAGCAAAAUAGUGAUAUCAAGCAAAUCUCAAAAAAUCGUUCUCAGUUCGGAUUGUAGUCUGCAACUCGACUACAUGAAGUCGGAAUCGCUAGUAAUCGUAGAUCAGCUACGCUACGGUGAAUACGUUCUCGGGGUUUGUAC